Molecule: non-coding RNA, 534 nt
Organism: Vicugna pacos (alpaca)
Lineage: Eukaryota; Metazoa; Chordata; Mammalia; Artiodactyla; Camelidae
Source: RefSeq, a predicted model, not a curated record
AGUCUCAGAACGGGGAGGCAGAAACAGGAGACAAUCCAGGAAGACGUCCCGAGCCAGCAGGCUCCGUCCCAGAAUCAGUACAAAUGUGAGUUAUUUGUCUUUCUGAAAUAGAAUUAUGUGCGCUGAAGUCACUUUUAAUAUAUGGAAGUUUCCCAUUUUGGCCCCGUAAGCUUCUCCCUCUUCCCACAGUGAAGGAGGACACCGGUGUGCAGCUCAGCACUGAAACCAGCUCAACAGAGGACCGUCUCCAUGUCAGGCCAGCAGACACCCUGGGACCUUCUCUGGAGUCCAAUCUGUGAAUUGGAUCUCUGCGCUGCGAAGAGGUCCUAAUUGCGUGACCUUAGACAAGUUUGUGCCUUAAUUUCCUCAUCCAUAAAAUGGGGAUAUUAACAGUCCUGUCUCACAGAAUUGCUUUGAAAGAAAUCAACCCAGAAGCAUCUUCAGAGUCAAGCUCUGGCACCGAGCUGGUCAAGGCCUCAAGGAAGAGCAGGAAGGGUCUGCUCCAGGGAGCUCCUGCCCACAAGCGACCACACA